RNAcentral lists this long non-coding RNA (364 nucleotides) under Actinidia chinensis (golden kiwifruit). RNAcentral's name for it is "long non-coding RNA (ACHI_LNC006616)". Lineage: Eukaryota; Viridiplantae; Streptophyta; Magnoliopsida; Ericales; Actinidiaceae. The record is from RNAcentral.
GAAACAAUCUAUAGCUAUUCAAAUUGCGGAGGUAUGUUGGACAAUUAUUCUUUCCGGGGUAUGGACAUUUAUGAGCCUUAAUUUCACUCCUUGUGCUCCAUGCAGGCAGCAUGUCUCAAAGAAAAGAUUAACAAGAUGUUUAAUGGUGAGCGGGUAAGUUGGGUUUUACUUUCUUCUUCCAAUCAUACAUGAACUUGAAUAAACCUACUCAUUUAAUUACCUGAUUUAAUGCUUAAUUAAGAGUUACUGUUCCCAUAGUUGGUGUCCAAAUAUUGACAUUUGACCUGUCAAAAAAUAAGGACUUCUUAUGAUAAGUUGAUAAUUUAUGGUAAAGCCGACAUACUGCUGCUAAAAUAUCCUGAUA